Molecule: long non-coding RNA, 532 nt
Organism: Macrobrachium nipponense
Lineage: Eukaryota; Metazoa; Arthropoda; Malacostraca; Decapoda; Palaemonidae
Exons: 3
Source: RefSeq, a predicted model, not a curated record
AGGAGCCGUUUCAAAGACACGACUCUUCUUUUACUACUACUGCUCCUGUCCGUCCGACUCCAAACGUCAAAUUCAUUGCCUCGACCCAUAACUACAACUCUACCUGUUGGAGAAAAAAAUAGAAAAAUAAAUCUAAGGUAGAACUAAUAAUCACAGGUUUUCCGAGUGACGACAGCAGCGCUAUGUUUACCUGAUUGUGGCGAGUUCUCCCAAGUUCCCAACCAACAGCCCGAGGGACAUGUCGACCUUGGUGGCUACUUGCUCCUCCUUCUCCGUGGUUACCAGGCGUUUGGCGCCUUUAGUAGGACCACUGCUCAGACCAUCCACCGGACGGUGUCUUCUUCCUUUGCUUGGCAGGCCUUCCUCGGAUCUCUUUCUCCCGUUGUCCUGUUCAUACGCUACGAAGAGGAAAAUGGCAUUAACGAAGACUUGCUGAGAGAUCAUUACGGGAGUUCCAGGAGAAAACGAGGCUUACAGCUUUUCCGAUAUAGUUCCGUCUUUGUUAAUGCGGUAUGUUCUUUUAUGCUUUGCU